AUCAAUGGUGGGCCGGAUGGGGGAGCCGAAAGGCCCGCCGGGUCCUGUUUAGCCGGUAAUGCGAACUCCGUCCAGCUCGCCGCCUAU
This 87-nucleotide non-coding RNA is filed under the name Bacteriophage APSE-3. Lineage: Duplodnaviria; Heunggongvirae; Uroviricota; Caudoviricetes. RNAcentral also lists the same sequence under 2 other names. The record is from RNAcentral.